UACGGAGGGUGCAAACGUUAAUCGGAAUUACUGGGCGUAAAGCGCGCGUAGGUGGUUUCUUAAGUGGGAUGUGAAAGCCCAGGGCUCAACCUUGGAACUGCAUUCCAAACUGAGAGACUAGAGUACGAUAGAGGGAGGUAGAAUUCAGAGUGUAGCGGUGAAAUGCGUAGAUAUUCUGAGGAAUACCAGUGGCGAAGGCGGCCUCCUGGAUUGAUACUGACACUGAGGCGCGAAAGCGUGGGGAGCAAACAGG
This 253-nucleotide unclassified non-coding RNA is filed under the name uncultured Gammaproteobacteria bacterium. RNAcentral's name for it is "contains 16S-23S intergenic spacer region". It matches the Rfam family "Bacterial small subunit ribosomal RNA", at positions 524 to 776 of the family's 1533-position model. Lineage: Bacteria; Pseudomonadati; Pseudomonadota; Gammaproteobacteria. The record is from RNAcentral.